RNAcentral lists this unclassified non-coding RNA (303 nucleotides) under uncultured Pleosporales. Its description in RNAcentral is "sequence contains ITS1". The stretch from base 1 to 105 matches the Rfam family "5.8S ribosomal RNA", at positions 50 to 154 of the family's 154-position model. The record is from RNAcentral. Lineage: Eukaryota; Fungi; Ascomycota; Dothideomycetes; Pleosporales.
GAAAUGCGAUAAGUAGUGUGAAUUGCAGAAUUCAGUGAAUCAUCGAAUCUUUGAACGCACAUUGCGCCCCUCGGUAUUCCGUGGGGCAUGCCUGUUCGAGCGUCAUUUACACCCCCAAGCUCUGCUUGGUGUUGGGCGCCUGUCCCGCUCUCUGCGCGGACUCGCCCUAAAGCUAUUUGCAGCGGUCAUGCCAGCUUCUCGCGCAGCACAUUGCGCUUCUUGAGGCCCCGGCUAGGCAGCGUCCAUAAAAGUCUACCUCCACAGUUUGACCUCGGAUCAGGUAGGGAUACCCGCUGAACUUAA